This 490-nucleotide ribosomal RNA is filed under the name uncultured bacterium. RNAcentral describes it as "partial 16S ribosomal RNA". It matches the Rfam family "Bacterial small subunit ribosomal RNA", at positions 28 to 507 of the family's 1533-position model. The record is from RNAcentral.
GAUGAACGCUAGCGGCAGGCCUAAUACAUGCAAGUCGAACGGGAUCCAGAUCAAAGCUUGCUUUGGUUUGGUGAGAGUGGCGCACGGGUGCGUAACGCGUGAGCAACCUACCCUUGUCAGGGGGAUAGCCCGGCGAAAGUCGGAUUAAUACCGCAUGACAUCAUUGAGAGGCAUCUUUCGAUGAUCAAAGAUUUAUCGGACAAGGAUGGGCUCGCGUGACAUUAGCUAGUUGGUAAGGUAACGGCUUACCAAGGCUACGAUGUCUAGGGGCUCUGAGAGGAGAAUCCCCCACACUGGUACUGAGACACGGACCAGACUGCUACGGGAGGCAGCAGUAAGGAAUAUUGGUCAAUGGACGGAAGUCUGAACCAGCCAUGCCGCGUGCAGGAAGACGGCCCUAGGGGUUGUAAACUGCUUUUAUACGGGAACAAACGUCGGUACGUGUACCGGUCUGAGUGUACCGUAAGAAUAAGGAUCGGCUAACUCCGUG